UACAGAGGUCUCAAGCGUUGUUCGGAUUCAUUGGGCGUAAAGGGUGCGUAGGCGGCGCGGUAAGUCGGGUGUGAAAUCUCGGAGCUUAACUCCGAAACUGCAUUCGAUACUGCCGUGCUUGAGGACUGGAGAGGAGACUGGAAUUCCCGGUGUAGCGGUGAAAUGCGUAGAGAUCGGGAGGAAUACCAGUGGCGAAGGCGGCCUUCUGGACUGACACUGACGCUGAGGCGCGAAAGCCAGGGGAGCAAACGGG
This 253-nucleotide ribosomal RNA is filed under the name uncultured bacterium. Its description in RNAcentral is "partial 16S ribosomal RNA". It matches the Rfam family "Bacterial small subunit ribosomal RNA", at positions 524 to 776 of the family's 1533-position model. The record is from RNAcentral.